GUUGAGAUGGCUGAGUUGGUCUAAGGCGCUAGAUUAAGGUUCUGGUCCGCAAGGGCGUGGGUUCGAAUCCCACUCUCAACA
Molecule: transfer RNA, 81 nt
Filed under: Selaginella moellendorffii
Lineage: Eukaryota; Viridiplantae; Streptophyta; Lycopodiopsida; Selaginellales; Selaginellaceae
Description: tRNA tRNA-Leu
Rfam family: tRNA
About the family: Transfer RNA (tRNA) molecules are approximately 80 nucleotides in length. Their secondary structure includes four short double-helical elements and three loops (D, anti-codon, and T loops).
Source: Rfam by way of RNAcentral